Molecule: long non-coding RNA, 692 nt
Organism: Oncorhynchus tshawytscha (Chinook salmon)
Lineage: Eukaryota; Metazoa; Chordata; Actinopteri; Salmoniformes; Salmonidae
Source: Ensembl
CUAGAUAGGUAUGUUACAUAUCAGCUGACCAGUGACCAGAUCUUACAGCUCCUAGAUAGGUAUGUUACAGAUCAGCUGACCAGUGACCAGAUCUUACAGCUCCUAGAUAGGUAUGUUACAUAUCAGCUGACCAGUGACCAGAGGAUCUUACAGCUCCUAGAUAGGUAUGUUACAUAUCAGCUGACCAGUGAUCAGAUCUUACAGCUCCUAGAUAGGUAUGUUACAGAUCAGCUGACCAGUGACCAGAUCAUAUACUGUAAUAUGGUAAACUGAUGCCCAACUGCACAGUCAAUGAGGUGGCACGCAACCAUUGGUUGAUGCAAUGCAAUGCCUGCACAUCUAUUUGGGCAGGAUCUCGACCACCACUUCCUCCCAAAACAGCCCUAGAGCUCUACCCCAUUCUUGGAGCAUGCAGGUCCCUAGUCUAGUCAUGUGAUGUGUUUCCUGGGAAAGCAGAGGGAGAAAGAGAAAAUGUUUAGUUCAAACUGAACCAAAACCAUUCUACUAAUUAAUCCACAAAGCCGUCAAGGUUUUAUGCCCUUUAAAACAGCCCUUUCACCCUUCAAUGGACUGAUUUUGGACAGGGCAUCUGUCUGUAUUCACUCUCACAUUUCUUCUCCUCUCCUCUCUUCACUCUCACCCCUCGUUCCUCCUCUCCUCUCAUCUCUUGUUCCUCAUCUCCUCUCUUCACA